UGGGUNUGGAGUAAGGGAGAGCAAG
Molecule: non-coding RNA, 25 nt
Filed under: Mus musculus (house mouse)
Lineage: Eukaryota; Metazoa; Chordata; Mammalia; Rodentia; Muridae
Source: RNAcentral